GACGAACGCUGGCGGCGUGCCUAAUACAUGCAAGUAGAACACACAGUUUAUACCGUAGCUUGCUACACCAUAGACUGUGAGUUGCGAACGGGUGAGUAACGCGUAGGUAACCUGCCUGGUAGCGGGGGAUAACUAUUGGAAACGAUAGCUAAUACCGCAUAAUAUUAAUUAUUGCAUGGUAAUUAAUUGAAAGGUGCAAUUGCACCACUACCAGAUGGACCUGCGUUGUAUUAGCUAGUAGGUGAGGUAACGGCUCACCUAGGCGACGAUACAUAGCCGACCUGAGAGGGUGAUCGGCCACACUGGGACUGAGACACGGCCCAGACUCCUACGGGAGGCAGCAGUAGGGAAUCUUCGGCAAUGGACGAAAGUCUGACCGAGCAACGCCGCGUGAGUGAAGAAGGUUUUCGGAUCGUAAAGCUCUGUUGUAAGAGAAGAACGGGUGUGAGAGUGGAAAGUUCACACUGUGACGGUAUCUUACCAGAAAAGGACGGCUAACUACGU
Molecule: ribosomal RNA, 504 nt
Filed under: uncultured bacterium
Lineage: Bacteria
Description: partial 16S ribosomal RNA
Rfam family: Bacterial small subunit ribosomal RNA
Source: RNAcentral